RNAcentral lists this transfer RNA (73 nucleotides) under Paramuricea clavata. It matches the Rfam family "tRNA". Rfam says of the family: Transfer RNA (tRNA) molecules are approximately 80 nucleotides in length. Lineage: Eukaryota; Metazoa; Cnidaria; Anthozoa; Malacalcyonacea; Plexauridae. The record is from Rfam by way of RNAcentral.
GACCGCGUAGCUCAGUUGGCAGAGCAUUGGGCUAGUAUUCCAAAGGUCGUAGGUUCAAAUCCCACCGUGGCCA